This 877-nucleotide long non-coding RNA is filed under the name Papio anubis (olive baboon). Its description in RNAcentral is "lncRNA (ENSPANG00000047001.1)". Lineage: Eukaryota; Metazoa; Chordata; Mammalia; Primates; Cercopithecidae. The record is from RNAcentral.
AGUUUGAAGCCUGGCUGUGAUCUUGGGCAAGUUUUUUGUCUUUUGUGUCAUUCCUCAGUCAUCCCCUAUAAAAUGGGGAUACUCACUGUCCUGACUGCAUUGCGCACCAGGAAAUGGGCAGGAACUAACACACGUGGUGUGACAGCCCAGAGCCAGGCAUAGAGUAAGUGUGUGGCUAGUGCUGGUUCUCAGUCAGCCAUGUUUGGUUGUUGGCUGAGCAGAGAGGAGACCAGUGUGACAGAACCCAGGGGACAGUCUGGAUCACUAGGAGCUUGAGUGUUAGGGAGAGGCCAAGCCUUCAUCUCCUGCAAGAUAAAGCCCAAUCUCUACCCCACAAACACUGGUGAGUGACUCUUUGCCCAGCAAAGUUGCCAGAGAGACCAGAGAUGCCUGGAGCCCACGUCUGGCCUCUUGCCGAAGUGCUUCUCUCUGUGAGAUUACAUAUUCUGGGCCACAUCCCUUCCAUCCCCACUUCCUCCCUCACUUCACUCCUUUCCUUACUCCUCCAUCAUAAAAGUCUCCAGAAACAAGUGAAUGAGGCAAUAAAUUCUCUGUUUCUGACAGGCCGACAAGAGAGAUAAAUUCCGUAAUGGGAGCUGCGGCCCUGCUCUCCUGUCCUAGUGGAGCUUUGGCUGAUGGAAAGGAAGUCAUCUCCAGAGAUAAAGAGAGUGAGCCCAAGCCACAGAAAGAAAAGGAGAAUGAAGACCGGGCACUGUGGCUCACGCCUGUAAUCCCAGCACUUUGGGAGGCUGAGGCAGGCAGAUCACAAGUGAUUUUCCCUACUGGGCAGCAGAUGAUUUCUUCAAAGGUUGCCUGGAUCAGAGUCCUUAAGGGAAUUAAGAAGUUGGGGAGUAAUGACCACAUCAAGUGUCGGUGA